CUCCCCAUCUUCAGCCACGUUCCCUGAGCCUGGGUGUGAGAGUGUUCUGUAGCUGUAUCCACCGGGACUGCCCUCCACAACUCUGCAUGUUGAUUGGUUUUGGUUUUCUGUGGUGAUCUUCACCCGUUGCAAAGAGAAGUUUUCUUGAUGAGAGGUGAAGACUGCACUUGUCUAUAUGCUCCUGCUGCCCAGGAUAUUAUGGAUGAAAAUAACCUGAAAGAGCUACAAGGACCCACAGCUAUAGGGAACCUCCAUGGCUGACAGCUACACUGUGUCAACCACUCACGCUUCCCAAGAUUUCACCACUUCAAGGAGCUUCUUGCCUAACUUCAUGGACCACCUUGACCUUCAGACUCCUCAGUACAUGUGAUCUGUUCAGUGCAUCGUAUUUCAGAGUCCAUUUCCAUCCAUAUUCAGCUGUAUGAGACUAGGGACUACUCUACUUCUUUUG
Peromyscus eremicus (cactus mouse) is the source of this 451-nucleotide long non-coding RNA. RefSeq lists it as uncharacterized. The transcript is spliced from 3 exons. NCBI's taxonomy places the organism in Eukaryota, Metazoa, Chordata, Mammalia, Rodentia, Cricetidae. The record is from RefSeq and is a predicted model, not a curated record.